GGAAAAGUGAGUACCGGCUAGUAUCGCGAGAUCAGGAAGGUGGCCGAGUGUGUCGCCGCGGCCAUCAGGCACUUCUCCUUCCUGCCCUUGUAUGAAGAAGGAUGUGUUUGCUUCCCCUUGUGCCAUGAUUGUAAAUUUCCUGAGGCCUCCUCAGCCCUGCAGAACUGGGGUUAUAGCCAUGUGACUGAUCUUCGUCCAAGAAUAUGUAAAGAAAAAGUGUUGAGUUGGCUUUUAGGGCUAGAGCAAUGUAUCUUAGGCUCACUUAAGGAAGCUGUAGAGAUGAGCCCAAGGAGGGAAACCAGAAGAGCCCCCCAGGCUCACCAGUUGUUUGUUGGCUCCCUACAAACAUGUCAUUCAAGUGGCUAAUCUUACAACAGCACAAAUUCAUCUAACCAGAGAUACUCUAUUAUAGCAAAGAAGAAAGAUAAUUUCAUUGAGCCAUCCUGUUUUACAGCACCCAACAGAAUCCCUUCAAAGCCUCGUGGUCUGACACCCUAUGCUACGUGACUUGUGACCCAUCCAUUUGUCAUGUUCUUCGGGAAUGUGGCUAAGGGGCUAAGAUGUGACUUGAAAAGAAAGGUAGAACAAGAUCAUCUCAAAUUUAUUAUCAAGGAAUAGUUCAGAAAACGACUUCAGACCACAGAGACAGCAGAACAGAUGGUCCGGCAUGGAUAGAGCAUCAGACACUCACAGACUGUGCCAACAAGAGCCAUCGAGUCAAAACAGCCAAAGGAAGGAGGGUCAUGGAAUGGGUUCUCUCACACCAAACUGAUGCCCAGAGGCCCUCAGCAUGAAUAACAAAGGCAACCAGACCCACAAGCCAUACUGAGUGGAUACAAAACCUAUACCUAGGCUGACAUCCCAAAUGUGUGUGGCAAGUUAGAUGAUGAUGGCACAAAAGACAGAACACCUUGCUUCUGGCCAUUGUCAGCUCUUGGAAGAGAGCACACUUUUAGAGGAGCAGCUGCAAGGAGCCUGAGAACAAAACUGGAAAUGUCUGUUAUGAAAGCCUUCACAGGAAAUUCUGCAAGUGGCAACGUGGGUCCAUUCCGUGUGUGUCACUAGAGCUGGCGCAAGCCCAUGGCCAUGGUGAGGCAGCGUUUCCACUGGAACUAAUCUGAUACCUGCACCAGCUCUUGCAACUGUGCAGUGUUCCCACUGCAAACUACGGAUGGGGUAAAAGACUGCUCACCUCCUAUUUCUCAUCUAAUCUCACACACUCUGUUUGAUGAGGCUAUGGAGAAACAGGUCUUCUCAUACACUAAAGGUGGGAGUACAAACAAUUCAAGCCCUGUGCAGGACAAUUAGGCAAUACCUAUCAAAAUUAUACAUGAUUUUUCCUGCUGACCCAGCAAUUCCACUUCUGGGAAUAAUUGACAGAUAUAGGUGCAUAUGUACAAAAUGAUGGAAAGCUCUCUGGUAUAUAUUAGUAAGUGAUAAAACAAGGUGUAAAAUAGUGUAUAUAUGGCUACUACCUUUUGUUUUAAAAAUGGGGGAAAAUGGUGGAGCUUGCGGUGAGCCGAGAUCGUGCCACUGCACUCCAGCCUGGGCGACAGAGCGAGACUCCGUCUCAAAAAAAAAACAGGGUGGGGUGGGGGGGAAAUAAUAGUACAUACUCAUAUUUACCUGUAUCUAUAUAAAACACACUAUCAAGGAUUCACAAGAAACUAAUACAAAUGAUCACCUUAUAGAUGGUAUGUAUUGGGGGAUACUGAGGUGAGCAGGGUAUAAGUGGGGCAAGACUUUUCAGUGUAAACUUCUUUUAAAUUUUAUUUUGAUUUUUGAAUAAUGUAAAUUAACUGUCAAAUAAUUAAAUUAAAAAUAACCAAUUUAUUAACAAAA
RNAcentral lists this long non-coding RNA (1842 nucleotides) under Homo sapiens (human). Its description in RNAcentral is "HSALNT0173305". The record is from RNAcentral. Lineage: Eukaryota; Metazoa; Chordata; Mammalia; Primates; Hominidae.